Molecule: long non-coding RNA, 375 nt
Organism: Thunnus maccoyii (southern bluefin tuna)
Lineage: Eukaryota; Metazoa; Chordata; Actinopteri; Scombriformes; Scombridae
Exons: 3
Source: RefSeq, a predicted model, not a curated record
ACAGAAGCAAGAGGUCUCACUCUGGCAAUAUUUCUUGGUACCACAAACGUCAUCCACACAGGCGUCCCAUCUCCGGUACCAUCUUGACGUAUUAUCGCCACCAACUGGACUGGAGUGUAUAUCAUUAGACUAAACUGACGAUGUCUGUGAGAUGUCUGCAGUUCCAACAUGGUUUAAAAUAAAUAACAGUUUGAGGCCCAAAGAGAUUCAUCUCAUGACCCUCACAAAGCAGUUCAAACUGGCUCCACCUCGACCAGCUAAAACAGUAAAAUGCUGCUUAUGCACUGACUCAUUGGUAUUAAUUAUGUACUUUGGUAAAUUUAUUUAACUUAUCAGUCACAGUCUGAUUUUCUGCAAAACAAGUACUUUUACUUU